This 115-nucleotide ribosomal RNA is filed under the name Salvia splendens (bonfire salvia). The record is from RNAcentral. Lineage: Eukaryota; Viridiplantae; Streptophyta; Magnoliopsida; Lamiales; Lamiaceae.
GCGAUCAUACCUGCACUAAUGCACCGGAUCCCAUCAGAACUCUGAAGUUAAGCAUGCUUGGGCGAGAGUAGUACUAGGAUGGGUGACCCCCUAGGAAGUCCUCAUGUUGCACCCC